UUUGUUAUCUUUGCGAACUUCUGAGGCUUCCACCUUGAAAGACUGAGUGCUCAUCUUUUAAGGUUGCAUGUUCAUAAGGUUGCAGCCCUUGAAUUGGGAAACAGCUAUAGUGUCACUGUUGGGUAUAUAAUCUGUAAAUUGAUCCGAAGUUCAUGUUAUGCACAGGGAUAUUUUAAAAAGCUUAAAGGCGGAGUCCACGAUGUUUGAAAAACGGUUUGGAGAAGGAGACGGGCCGACUACCAAAACACACUUAUAGCAAAUCAAAUCAAAUCAAAUGCUGGGUUGCGUAUGUGUGGGGAGGGUCUAUCAACAGAAGGUCCAGAUUCUAUUGGGGUAGGGGCGUGUUUGUUUAGGUGAUUUCAAAUAUCAACAGUGGCUUUCAAACAUCAUAGGCUCCGCCUUUAAUGUACAAUAAUAAUUUUUAAAGUUGCUUUAAUAGAAGUACAUUGCAUUAUAAUUGUGUCUUAAGAUUUUUAUAUCUAAAAAUAUUGUGUGUAUUCAACUAUUUAUAUUUAGUUUACUCAGAUAUUGUUGUUUAUCGUAGUGACACCCUAAAAUGUUUGUUUGAGUUGUUGUAAUUAAAAACAACAUCUUGCACUGAUUAACAGAUCAAUACUUUUGUUUUUUCUGAAGAUUGUUUUUUUUUUUGUAACAUUGUGUUUUAACUUCUUAAUAUCUUAUUUAACUCCUUGAUAUUUAUAUUUGUUUUCUUUUUGUAUGUGUCAUUGGAAAUUAAUGGAAUGGUGCAACAUAAGCAAUAAAGAGGAUAGACGACAGCACGGUGUGCCUUGGGCAUUUCAUUGUACUUUGACGGACUGAAAAGAUGCCACGUGGAAAAGGUUUUCGGCGGUCCCAGGCAGCCAAGAGGCGAAUGGCUAAGCCAUAUUCACUCAGUCCUGCAGAUCAACUUGCUGGCGAAAAUUCCAUGGUUUCCAAUGGUUCCAAUGACUUUCCAAAAAGUUCCAAUGACUUUCCAAAAAGUUCCAAUGACUUUCCAAAAAGUUCCAAUGACUUUCCAAAAAGUUCCAAUGACUUUCCAAAAAGUUCCAAUGACUUUCCAAAAAGUUCCAAUGACCUUCCAAAAUGUUCCAAUGACCUUCCAAAAUGUUCCAAAGACCUUCCAAAAUGUUCCAAAGACAAUUCUGUUCAUGUAACUAACUUUGCUAGUUUUUCAGAUCAAGUUCUAAAAGGCUCCUUUCAUCAAGGUGAUGAACGAUUUGGGUACAACAGGAACCGACAGUGUGGAGUCAACAGUCUGACAGCAGUGAUGAUGAGCAAACUGAAGAAUGUGCUGACAUGGACCACAGAUGACCUGAAUACUGUGUUGGUUAAAGGAGAUGAGAUGUAUACAUGUAUGCGCUUACAGGGGAAAAUUAAUGAUUCAACAGGUAGUGGAUAUGUUUCCAUUGCAGAAUUGCCAAAAAUGCAUACACUGUAUAGUACAAAGUUCAAAAUAAACUACAA
This is a non-coding RNA of Misgurnus anguillicaudatus (oriental weatherfish), 1464 nucleotides long. The record is from RefSeq and is a predicted model, not a curated record. Lineage: Eukaryota; Metazoa; Chordata; Actinopteri; Cypriniformes; Cobitidae.